ACGCUCGACACCUACGGGAGGCAGCAGUGGGGAAUAUUGCACAAUGGGGGAAACCCUGAUGCAGCGACGCCGCGUGAAGGAAGAAGUAUCUCGGUAUGUAAACUUCUAUCAGCAGGGAAGAAAGUGACGGUACCUGACUAAGAAGCCCCGGCCUAACUACGUGCCAACAGCCGCGGUAAUCUGAGCGGGCUGGCAAGGC
This 199-nucleotide ribosomal RNA is filed under the name uncultured bacterium. RNAcentral's name for it is "partial 16S ribosomal RNA". It matches the Rfam family "Bacterial small subunit ribosomal RNA", at positions 328 to 539 of the family's 1533-position model. The record is from RNAcentral.